RNAcentral lists this ribosomal RNA (464 nucleotides) under uncultured Geobacteraceae bacterium. Its description in RNAcentral is "partial 16S ribosomal RNA". It matches the Rfam family "Bacterial small subunit ribosomal RNA", at positions 338 to 794 of the family's 1533-position model. The record is from RNAcentral. Lineage: Bacteria; Pseudomonadati; Thermodesulfobacteriota; Desulfuromonadia; Geobacterales; Geobacteraceae.
CCUACGGGAGGCAGCAGUGGGGAAUUUUGCGCAAUGGGGGCAACCCUGACGCAGCAACGCCGCGUGAGUGAUGAAGGCCUUCGGGUCGUAAAGCUCUGUCAGAGGGGAAGAAAUGCAGGUGGUGAACAACCAUUCUGUUUGACGGUACCCUCAAGGGAAGCACCGGCUAACUCCGUGCCAGCAGCCGCGGUAAUACGGAGGGUGCGAGCGUUGUUCGGAGUUAUUGGGCGUAAAGCGCGUGUAGGCGGUUUGUUAAGUCGGAGGUAAAAGCCCCGGGCUAAACCGGGGAAGUGCAUUGGAUACUGGCAGACUUGAGUACGGGAGAGGGGAGUGAAAUUCCCAGUGUAGGAGUAAAAUCCGUAGAUAUUGGGAGGAACACCGGUGGCGAAGGCGGCGCUCGGGACCGAUCCUGACGCUGAGACGCGAAAGCGUGGGGAGCAAACGGGAUUAGAUACCCUGGUAGU